This 560-nucleotide long non-coding RNA is filed under the name Homo sapiens (human). RNAcentral describes it as "non-protein coding lnc-ABCG2-2:1". The record is from RNAcentral. Lineage: Eukaryota; Metazoa; Chordata; Mammalia; Primates; Hominidae.
AUCUGGUCAACUGCGGGAGAAAAAUUUUCGAGAAUUUCCAGCAGGCAAGGCAGUGGCCGCUUUGACUGCUUGCUUCGGAGAUCCGAGACGACGGAGAAGGCACUCUUAUUUACCGACCAAGAAAGCUCCUCCCCCGUCCUCCGUUAGCUAAUUAAAACAUUUUUCAGGGACGUAGCCAUCCAGAGACAUUCCAUUAUUGUUCCAUUGACCUUUCCCUCAUCACUGAGUCCUUUGGAGCUGAGUUAUGUCAACAGCUGCCUUAAUUACUUUGGUCAGAAGUGGUGGGAACCAGGGAUUUGCUUCCUAAGGAGAAGAACUUGGAAACUCUGUUGACCUUGGCUUUUCUAGAAAUAGAUAAAGCCUUUUCGAGUCAUGCCCGCCUGUCUGCUGAUGCAACUCUUCUGACCUCUGGGACUACUGCAACAGUAGCCCUAUUGCGAGAUGGUAUUGAACUGGUUGUAGCCAGUGUUGGGGACAGCCGGGCUAUUUUGUGUAGAAAAGGAAAACCCAUGAAGCUGACCAUUGACCAUACUCCAGAAAGAAAAGAUGAAAAAGAAAGG